RNAcentral lists this ribosomal RNA (237 nucleotides) under uncultured bacterium. RNAcentral describes it as "partial 16S ribosomal RNA". It matches the Rfam family "Bacterial small subunit ribosomal RNA", at positions 15 to 248 of the family's 1533-position model. The record is from RNAcentral.
GAUCCUGGCUCAGAUUGAACGCUGGCGGCAGGCUUAACACAUGCAAGUCGAACGGUAGCAGGAGAAAGCUUGCUUUCUUGCUGACGAGUGGCGGACGGGUGAGUAAUGCUUUGGAAUCUGGCUUAUGGAGGGGGAUAACGACGGGAAACUGUCGCUAAUACCGCGUAGUAUCGGAAGAUGAAAGUGCGGGACCGCAAGGCCGCAUGCCAUAAGAUGAGCCCAAGUGGGAUUAGGUAG